UACGUAGGUGGCAAGCGUUAUCCGGAUUUAUUGGGCGUAAAGCGAGCGCAGGCGGUUGCUUAGGUCUGAUGUGAAAGCCUUCGGCUUAACCGAAGAAGUGCAUCGGAAACCGGGCGACUUGAGUGCAGAAGAGGACAGUGGAACUCCAUGUGUAGCGGUGGAAUGCUUAGAUAUCACGAAGAACCCCGAUUGCGAAGGCAGCCUGCCGCAGCGUUACUGACGCUGAAGCUCGAAAGCGCGGGUAUCGAACAGG
This 253-nucleotide ribosomal RNA is filed under the name uncultured Lactobacillus sp. RNAcentral describes it as "partial 16S ribosomal RNA". It matches the Rfam family "Bacterial small subunit ribosomal RNA", at positions 524 to 776 of the family's 1533-position model. Lineage: Bacteria; Bacillati; Bacillota; Bacilli; Lactobacillales; Lactobacillaceae. The record is from RNAcentral.